CUGGCAAAGACUCCGAGACAAUCACCAAAGCUGCACCAGUCCAACCUCACGCACCUGGGAAGACCAAGGAAGUAACACUUAAACGAUACAUCCGGAACAACCAGUGUCUUGGCAGAUGCGUGCCUGAAUGUGCAGAAGGUGAACAACAAGGUCCAAAAGUAAUAUGCCAAGUUCAUACUGACAUCUACUGCUGUAAAAAGAAAAAUGAAUGAGGAAAAGAUCACAAGGUCGUUAAUUCUCAAAACAAAUAGAACACAAUCGUCUCCUUUAUGGCAAGCUCAAUCAGGUCCUCUGCCCAACCUUCUAUGUGUGCUGUAAAUGGGAACUUCCAGCUCUAUAAGAUGACGCAGUUGGCCACCAAAUUGUCAGAUGGAAGGCAUCCCACAGAAGAUUUAAGGCUGUUCUAUGGGAUUCCUUAAUCUCAACAGUCCCUGAGGAUUGGGUUCUUUCUUGAGUGACAGUUGGAUAAGCCAAGUGUUUCAGGUGUUCCUUUUCAAAUAAAUCUGCCAUCUGAUCAGAUCCUUCAGGAAGCAAUAUCAUCCAUCUUUACAGUUCAUCAGGCUUUAAUAUGUUUUCCUAAUAAA
Molecule: long non-coding RNA, 584 nt
Organism: Sceloporus undulatus (fence lizard)
Lineage: Eukaryota; Metazoa; Chordata; Lepidosauria; Squamata; Phrynosomatidae
Exons: 3
Source: RefSeq, a predicted model, not a curated record